AAAAAACCAAUUUUUUCUGCUUAAAUUGCAAAAAAAAAUCUAAUAAAAAUAACAAAAUUUUGUUACAAAUUCUUACACAAACACAAUAAAAAUAAAAGUAAUACAUAAGCAUUCGGUUACAAAUUUUAACAUCCAUCUAAACCACAAACAUAAUAUAAAUGUCUAAAAACAUACAAACGUUUACAACAAAUAACCUAAGGAGCGUCAUGUAGAUUGUCGGGAGGGUUAUUACAGUCAUGUCGUCUCAUAAAUUCAACAAUUUCCGCCAUUUUUCUUUCAGUUUCGGCAUGACGUUGUUCCAACUCCCGAACCUAAACAAAUGUUAAAAGAAACAUACGUACAUUAAUACAUACAUUAGUAAACACAUAAAAAGUAACACAAUAUAUAUUAACAUUUUUAUAUAUUAUAUAGCAACAGAUCUACACCCUAAAGUCCUAAACUAAGUCUUUCAUGCCUCUUACUUCUUUCUUUAAAAAGAUACUCAUGUCUUUCAUGCCUCCUCUUUCUUACUUUUACUUAUAAUAAACCUAUUUUAUUGGCUGUAUUUACACAAAUACAAAUAAAAUGUGAGAUUAAUAUAGUUUUGAUGUGUAAUCUACCAACAGUUAAUAUCUCUAGUACUAUGANAUAAAGUGUUAACACAAUAAGUAAAUCAGAUGGUUAUACACUUAUGCUUAAAGCUUAAUCAGUGUUCUCUCAUAAGCAAAUAUCAAUUGAAUGUAGCCACUUAUAAAUAGAUAAGUAUUUUAACUUGAAGGUUAUCAAUUAUUGAUGACAUUACUUCCAUGUUUUGAGUGAUUAUGAAUUCAAGAUCCAAUAAUGACAUGCUAUGCUAAUUAUUCUCUUUGACUUUAUAACUUGUUUUCCCUUAACAAAGAUCUUAAACUAGAAAUUGUGAAAUAAUAUACAUUGGGAAAAUAGUACACAUGCAAGAAAACAUUACAUGAUCUUGGUUUUAGUUAAAUUUCUUUCUCUCCCUCUUUAUUAUAUAAAUUUAAUCUUUUUCCCCCUCCCCCACCAAAAAACAGAAUUGAAAAUGAUAGGAACUAAAGGAAUUUAAAACCUAAAAUGUACAAAAAUCCUACUAUCUCAAACGUGUUAAACUAUCGCAGGUAAAACUUUUGAAAUUUUCUUUAAAAGCAAUGAUCUUUGAGAGAUGAGAACCUAAAAUAUCUAAGCAAAAACGAAAGAAACAACACUGAGGAAUUGCUACUUGCCUGAGAAACAAGAGAGGAGAACGAAGAGAGACGGAAAAUCAGCAAAGGAAUCCGAUUUCAGCAACAACAUCAAACCAGAACAUCAUAUUAUCAACUAAAUACCCUCUUUCAGUAGUCUAGAUUACUCAAAAUAAAUAAAAAAACAUAGACCAAUCAAAAAUAUGAUACACAUUGCAUAUCAACAACAACAAAAAUCGGAAGUCUAAAUUGAUUAUUAAAAACAUAUACCAAGCAGAAAUUAGAAGUCUAGAUUACCGGAGGUGGAGCUGUGGAUCUGAAAUCAGGUCGUCGGCAGUCAGACGACAGCAGGCGGACGGAGCAGGCGAAACGGAACAGGGGGUGAAGGCAAUGGUCGAUUACAGGUUCCCGUCGUUCGAUUGCUAGAGAGAGGCAUGAUGGUCCCGAUUUCAGACUUCGGUCGUCGUUCGAUUUGUAGAGAGUUUGUGAAGACGAAGAAGUGAAGCCGCAAGCCGAUAGACAGAAGCAUGAAGUCGUGUAGAACUGACGCCGUUGAUUUCGAUUUUCCGAUUGUCUUGUGUCGGCGUCUCAAAGAAAAAGGAAAGAGACAAAACCUAAAAAUCAGAUCAUAUGUUUAUAUAUAUAUAUAUUCA
This 1828-nucleotide long non-coding RNA is filed under the name Lactuca sativa (garden lettuce). RNAcentral's name for it is "long non-coding RNA (LSAT_LNC007570)". The record is from RNAcentral. Lineage: Eukaryota; Viridiplantae; Streptophyta; Magnoliopsida; Asterales; Asteraceae.